This is a long non-coding RNA of Lacerta agilis (Sand lizard), 344 nucleotides long. RefSeq lists it as uncharacterized. NCBI's taxonomy places the organism in Eukaryota, Metazoa, Chordata, Lepidosauria, Squamata, Lacertidae. The record is from RefSeq and is a predicted model, not a curated record. The transcript is spliced from 3 exons.
GAGAAGGCCAUGGCCAUGGCCAUAACCAUGGCCAUCACCAUGGCCAUGGCAGAGGCAAAGGAAGAGGCAAAAACAAUGAGGUGGAACCAGUAAAUGAGCAUGAGGAGUAAGCAGAGAGGAUCCCACCAUCCCAUUCACUUAAAUCCCACUGAUAUCUAAAUCAAGAAUUGGCCACUGGAUCAGCUAUCCUGCUCCCUGCUAAUCAAAGACAACAAAUCGCAUCAUUAUACAACCAGAGUUGCCGUGGUGAUGGUGAUCAUCAGUUGCUAAUGAAUGGUUUUUGUUCCGUCUUGUCUGCUGGGUUGAGGAAAGCUUCAAAACAAUAAAAAUUACCAAGCAUCCAA